Molecule: ribosomal RNA, 499 nt
Filed under: uncultured bacterium
Lineage: Bacteria
Description: partial 16S ribosomal RNA
Rfam family: Bacterial small subunit ribosomal RNA
Source: RNAcentral
GACGAACGCUGGCGGCGUGCCUAAUACAUGCAAGUCGAGCGGACUGAAUGGGAGCUUGCUCUUGUUCGGUCAGCGGCGGACGGGUGAGUAACACGUGGGCAACCUGCCCGCAAGGCCGGGAUAACUCCGGGAAACCGGAGCUAAUACCGGAUAACACCGAAGACCGCAUGGUCUUUGGUUGAAAGGCGGCGCAAGCUGCCACUUGCGGAUGGGCCCGCGGCGCAUUAGCUAGUUGGUGAGGUAACGGCUCACCAAGGCGACGAUGCGUAGCCGGCCUGAGAGGGUGACCGGCCACACUGGGACUGAGACACGGCCCAGACUCCUACGGGAGGCAGCAGUAGGGAAUCUUCCGCAAUGGGCGAAAGCCUGACGGAGCGACGCCGCGUGAGCGAAGAAGGCCUUCGGGUCGUAAAGCUCUGUUGUGAGGGACGAAGGAGCGCCGUUUGAAGAAGGCGGCGCGGUGACGGUACCUCACGAGGAAGCCCCGGCUAACUACGUG